AGCGUGAUGUAGUGGUUAAGGGUUGGACUAUGACUGUAGAGACCAGGGUUUGAAUCCCUGCUAGGUUA
Phrynosoma platyrhinos (Desert horned lizard) is the source of this 68-nucleotide non-coding RNA. Lineage: Eukaryota; Metazoa; Chordata; Lepidosauria; Squamata; Phrynosomatidae. The record is from the annotation of a GenBank genome assembly.